Molecule: RNA transcript, 2209 nt
Organism: Platichthys flesus (European flounder)
Lineage: Eukaryota; Metazoa; Chordata; Actinopteri; Pleuronectiformes; Pleuronectidae
Gene: atcayb
Gene name: ATCAY kinesin light chain interacting caytaxin b
Exons: 12
Source: RefSeq, a predicted model, not a curated record
CAGCAGAAACCAACAUACGUCAGCUUUUACUUUACUCAAGGGACAAAUUAAGUGAUUACUCAAACUGAGAAAUGAAGCAGAGGCUGAUGGGAGAAGUAUGAGCCCAAGGUGAUACUAAAUCCUACAUUUCCCAGAAUACAACUGCAUCAUUUCUUUCUCUACUUCCCUCCCUGCCUGGUAGACACCCUCAUCUUUCCAUCCUCCACACCCUCUGAAGUCAGUUAAUCCUGAUGAAAUCACCAGAGUUGCACUAGAUGUCUGGAAUGGGUGGAGUGUUGCUCCACGGCGGCGUCAUGCACUGUGUGUCUUCCUCCCUGGUGUCCAUUGAAUGACUUUUAUUUCACAUGUUUGUCAGCCUCAGCGAGCUGAAGCCUGUCCUCCCCGGCCGAGGAUGGGCACAGCAGAAGCCACUUUACGCAUGGACAGCAUGGAGGUCAAGGACGAGUGGCAGGACGAGGACUUCCCCAGGCCUCUACCAGAAGAUGGAGAUGUUGAUUCUUCAUGUGGCCUCACCGACAACAGAAAAUACCCCCCCGCCUCUCUGAAUGUGGGCGAGAGCGUGGCGCAGCAUAAGCGUCGCACCCUGGUGGCCCCCGACAUGAACCUGUCCCUGGAUCAGAGCGAGGGCUCCGUGCUCUCUGACAGUUACCUGGAAACGCCCGACGACCUGGACAUCAACGUGGAAGACAUCGAGACCCCCGAUGACACCGACUCGCUGGAGUUCAUCAACAACGGCAACGAGCUGGAGUGGGAAGACGACACGCCGGUGGCCACGGCCAAACGUCUUCCAGGCGACAGCGAGGAAGAGAGAGACUCGUCGGGUCGUCUGUGGAGAACGGUGAUCAUCGGCGACCAGGAGCAGAGGAUCGACAUGCAGGUCAUCAGGCCGUACCUGAGGGUGGUCACACAUGGAGGUUAUUAUGGCGAGGGUCUGAACGCCAUCAUCGUGUUUGCAGCCUGCUGCCUUCCUGACAGCAACUGUGAGGACUACACGUACAUCAUGGAGAACCUCUUCCUAUAUGUGGUGAGCAGCCUGGAGCUUCUGGUGGCAGAAGAUUACAUGAUCGUUUACCUGAACGGAGCCACUCCUCGCAGGAAGAUGCCCGGCAUCAGCUGGCUGAAGAGAUGCUACCAGAUGAUCGACAGGAAACUGAGGAAGAAUCUGAAGUGUCUCAUCAUCGCUCACCCCACGUGGUUCAUCCGCACCGUCCUCGCCAUCUCAAGACCCUUCAUCAGUGUGAAGUUCAUGGAUAAAAUCCGCUACGUUCACUCACUGACGGAACUGAGUCAGAUCAUCCCCAUGGAGCAUGUGCAGAUCCCAGAGUGUGUGCUGCAGUACGAUGACGAGAAGAUAAGAGCACAGACGGAAAGACUUGAGCAAGAUCAGCAGCACAACAACUCAACAGCAGCUAAAGAAAGGUGACUCCAUGUUGCAGUACAUGCAGUAAUAUACACACAGUUCCAACAGCUGGCCAAAGUCAAUGAUAGCAGAUGUUGGAUGUGACAUCUGACAUUAAGGGUUUGAGAUGGAAGAACCGACGGGGGAACAUUCAUCCAUUACUGCAGGAGAACCUCGCAAAUCAGUCCCGACUGGAUCCACUGGCUGCAAGACAAUCAUUUUUCAAAAUGUCCUUCGCUGCGCCUAUAACUGAAAGUUCAUUUGCACCAAAGGCAUCGACACACAUACGUAAAACUAAAUCCCCCAAAAAGUUGUUUCUGCUCCCUGCAUGACGAGGUGAGCUUCAUCUACAGCAUGACUUCCAUCGUAUAAACAUCUAUGGACUCGGAUGAACCUUCAAACAUCUUCCGACAGAGAACGUUGUGUAAAUAAUUGUUGAUAUAUAUUUUUGAGAAAGGUGUUUGCACAGAUAUAUAUGGAUGAUAUGGAAUGGGUAUCGUGAAGUUUUACUGAAAAAUAAUGUGCAAUGAUAUUGUUCUUAGACCGACAGUUAGAUGUUACAGAUGCAAACGUGUUGCAGUUCUCAAAGUUUUUCCAGAGUUGAAUAUGCAGUUGGCAUGCUCGUUCAAAUCCUCCGUCACAUGUUACGUUUGUUUUGCCAUUAUGUUUUAAAAGAUACUUUUACAAGACAGAUGCAGAUGAACACAAUGAAAUUUAUUUAAGGGGAGAGUUUAAUUCAUUUCUAUAAGUGUUAUUUAUGAAAAUGUGCCAUUUACUGUUUGUAAAAAAAUUAAAUGAGUGAACUUAAAA